GACGAACGCUGGCGGCGUGCUUAACACAUGCAAGUCGAACGGAAAGGCCCUGCUUUUGUGGGGUGCUCGAGUGGCGAACGGGUGAGUAACACGUGAGUAACCUGCCCUUGACUUUGGGAUAACUUCAGGAAACUGGGGCUAAUACCGGAUAGGAGCUCCUGCUGCAUGGUGGGGGUUGGAAAGUUUCGGCGGUUGGGGAUGGACUCGCGGCUUAUCAGCUUGUUGGUGGGGUAGUGGCUUACGAAGGCUUUGACGGGUAGCCGGCCUGAGAGGGUGACCGGCCACAUUGGGCCUGCGAUACGGCCCAGACUCCUACGGGAGGCAGCAGUGGGGAAUGUUGCACAAUGGGCGGAAGCCUGAUGCAGCAACGCCGGGUGCGGGAUGACGGCCUUCGGGUUGUAAACCGCUUUCGCCUGUGACGAAGCGUGAGUGACGGUAAUGGGUAAAGAAGCACCGGCUAACUACGUG
RNAcentral lists this ribosomal RNA (468 nucleotides) under uncultured bacterium. Its description in RNAcentral is "partial 16S ribosomal RNA". It matches the Rfam family "Bacterial small subunit ribosomal RNA", at positions 28 to 507 of the family's 1533-position model. The record is from RNAcentral.